AGUGAACGCUGGCGGUAGGCCUAACACAUGCAAGUCGAACGGCAGCACAGUAAGAGCUUGCUCUUACGGGUGGCGAGUGGUGGACGGGUGAGGAAUACAUCGGAAUCUACUUUUUCGUGGGGGAUAACAUAGGGAAACUUACGCUAAUACCGCAUACGACCUACGGGUGAAAGCAGGGGAUCUUCGGACCUUGCGCGAUUGAAUGAGCCGAUGUCGGAUUAGCUAGUUGGCGGGGUAAAGGCCCACCAAGGCGACGAUCCGUAGCUGGUCUGAGAGGAUGAUCAGCCACACUGGAACUGAGACACGGUCCAGACUCCUACGGGAGGCAGCAGUGGGGAAUAUUGGACAAUGGGCGCAAGCCUGAUCCAGCCAUACCGCGUGGGUGAAGAAGGCCUUCGGGUUGUAAAGCCCUUUUGUUGGGAAAGAAAAGCAGCAGGUUAAUACCCCGCUGUUCUGACGGUACCCAAAGAAUAAGCACCGGCUAACUUCGUG
Molecule: ribosomal RNA, 492 nt
Filed under: uncultured bacterium
Lineage: Bacteria
Description: partial 16S ribosomal RNA
Rfam family: Bacterial small subunit ribosomal RNA
Source: RNAcentral